CUUCACUAUAUCCUUGCUGAUAUCAGCAACUAAUGAACAGAAAAUGACAUGACACCUGGCAAGGCCAGGACAUCCACCUGUAACAACAAUCAACUGGAAAAAGUUGGGGAAAAGUACAUCUGACAGCACAAACAGGUGAGAAUAAUCCAAUUCUAAGGUACACAUUACUUUUUCUUUCUGUCUACAUGGCACAUAUCAAGUUCAAAGACAUCCCACCAUGCAGUUAAGCUGUUAAGAAAAUAACCAUUAAAGCCAGUGAAAAUGGUCCAAGCCAGUAGGAAACUCGAGCACCUUAACUCUUCCCAGCAGAAUUUCAAAGUGUUAAAAAUUAAUGCAGUACAGAAUGGGUAAUUACUUCAACUUUCUCUUUUGUACUUACAUUGUUUUUUGUUGAGUAUUCCGCAGACAAAUAUAGAAACAAUUGUUUAACAUUCCAGUCAAAUAUACUCUGCAAAUCUGCAGUGAUGUCAAACGUGACGAACGCCAGAUCACUUCUUUCUCUAGGUCCAGUGAAGUCUUCUACAUUUCUUCUAAGAUAAAACAAAACAAGAUUAUCUUCUCCUUAUUUCUCUCUCACAUUUUAAGCAAAUUAUUAGACUGCGUACUUCCCCCAUGUGUUCCCUGUACUUCCUUACAAAAGCAUUUGGCUAAAAUAUAACCACAUUAUACAACAAAGCCUGCCUUCCAGAAGGCUUAGAGCCCCAGUUUUAAAUGAUGGGUUUUACCCCCACAGAAGUCUAUGUAAAUUAUACAAAAACCCUGAAAUUAUUUUCCAGUUAACAAGCAUUUGCAGUUUUCUGUACCUAAACCACAUCACAUUUCAUUUUUAGCAGAGUGUGCGUUACCUAUCCCCAUCUUCAAAUUUGUAAGCCGAUUGGAAAGCUGGCUCUACAGCUGACAAUCAUUUUAAACAAUAUUUAUUGACUACAUUAGAAAACCUUCAGUGUUUAGUCUCAUACAAGUCACUCCAACCAUUCUGAUUAACUGUCAUUAAUUUUGCAGUUUAAACAACUGAGAGAAUCUCUCCUUGGCAUGUUCAGUCAUUAAGGAGAAAAAGGAGGAAAACACUUAAUUCCUUCUACCUUGUAAAAAUCAUAGACAAGUUUUGGAAGACUUUGCUACAAAUCCACUUUUUGAGAAAUUACCUGACAUUGCCAUAGUAAACUGUGUUUAAAAAAAUAGAAACUGAAAAAUAACACAGGUAUUUAUAUAUAUAUAUUGUUAAAACUUAGUCUACCAAACUUACUGCUACAAGCUUACGCUGCAACAAAAAGCAAGCUGGCAAUGAACCAUGAGCCCUAAUUCCUCAUGUAACAAAGACCUUGGGAAUUAUGAACUUACCAGUUACAUUUAUUCUGCUGUUAAAAUUAGUCUGUUAAAAUGUAAUUUCAUAUAAAAUAAAUUCAGUAAUCUCAGAGGGAAAAAGUAUUAA
RNAcentral lists this long non-coding RNA (1432 nucleotides) under Chrysolophus pictus (golden pheasant). RNAcentral describes it as "lncRNA (ENSCPIG00010007267.1)". The record is from RNAcentral. Lineage: Eukaryota; Metazoa; Chordata; Aves; Galliformes; Phasianidae.